GGAUGUGAGGGCGAUCUGGCUGUGACAUCUGUCACCCCAUUGAUUGCCACGGUUGAUUUGGCUGAUCUGGCUGGCUAGGCGGGUGACCCCUUCCUCCCUCACUGCUCCAUGUGCUUCCCUCCUGAAGCUGUGCGCUCUGUCGAAGAGGACGACCUUCCCUGAUAGAGGAGGACCAUUCUUCGGUCAAGGGUUUACGAGUAGCUGCGCUUCCCUGCUAGAACCUCCAAAGAACCUCUCAAGGAGAAGAUGUCUAGUGUGGAUCCAAGCCUCUUCCCCUCAUUCUGAUACUGUAACUCUCAUGAAGUUUUUAAUUCUUA
This is an unclassified non-coding RNA of Castor canadensis (American beaver), 317 nucleotides long. Its record names the gene 7SK. It matches the Rfam family "7SK RNA". From Rfam's summary of the family: 7SK was discovered as an abundant small nuclear RNA in the mid-70s but a possible function has only recently been suggested. Two independent studies have found that 7SK RNA binds the CDK9/cyclin T complex (known as elongation factor P-TEFb). The record is from Ensembl. NCBI's taxonomy places the organism in Eukaryota, Metazoa, Chordata, Mammalia, Rodentia, Castoridae.